AUGGCCAUACCACAUUGAAAACACCGGUUCUCAUCCGAUCACCGAAGUUAAGCAAAACGAUGUCUGUUUUAUAGACAUUUUAUUGUGGCCUCU
Molecule: non-coding RNA, 93 nt
Organism: Cordylochernes scorpioides
Lineage: Eukaryota; Metazoa; Arthropoda; Arachnida; Pseudoscorpiones; Chernetidae
Source: the annotation of a GenBank genome assembly